Molecule: ribosomal RNA, 462 nt
Filed under: uncultured bacterium
Lineage: Bacteria
Description: partial 16S ribosomal RNA
Rfam family: Bacterial small subunit ribosomal RNA
Source: RNAcentral
GACGAACGCUGGCGGCGUGCCUAACACAUGCAAGUCGAACGGAAAGGCCCUACGGGGUUCUUGAGAGGCGUAGCGGUGGGCGGCAGGUGGACGAUUGGCCCUGCACCUUGUGAUACGUGGGGGACACCGGGUCUAAUAUGCCAUUAGAACAUCGGCUUCCCGGCGUGUGGGGGCAAGAUGUUGUGGCGUUGGCUGGGCGCGCGGGCAACCAGGUCGUUGGCGGGGUAUUGGGCUACAAAGGCGACGACGGGUAGCCGGCCUGAGAGGGUGACCGGCCACAAUGGGACUGAGAUACGGCCCAGACUCCUACGGGAGACAGCAGGGGGGAAUAUUGCACAAUGGGCGCAAGCCUGAUGCAGCGACGCCGCGUGAGGAAUGACGGCCUUCGGGUAGUAAACAGCAUUCAAUAAAGACGAAGCGGAAGUGACGGUACCUAUAGAAGAAGCACCGGCCAACUACGUG